GGAAGGUGGGGAUGACGUCAAAUCAGCACGGCCCUUACGUCCAGGGCUACACACGUGCUACAAUGGCCGAUACAGAGGGCAGCUACCUGGUGACAGGGAUGCAAAUCUCCAAAGUCGGUCUCAGUUCGGAUCGGAGUCUGCAACCCGACUCCGUGAAGUUGGAUUCGCUAGUAAUCGCGCAUCAGCCAUGGCGCGGUGAAUACGUUCCCGGGCCUU
Molecule: ribosomal RNA, 216 nt
Filed under: uncultured Sphingobacteriales bacterium
Lineage: Bacteria; Pseudomonadati; Bacteroidota; Sphingobacteriia; Sphingobacteriales
Description: partial 16S ribosomal RNA
Rfam family: Bacterial small subunit ribosomal RNA
Source: RNAcentral